Molecule: ribosomal RNA, 500 nt
Filed under: uncultured bacterium
Lineage: Bacteria
Description: partial 16S ribosomal RNA
Rfam family: Bacterial small subunit ribosomal RNA
Source: RNAcentral
AUUGAACGCUGGCGGCAUGCCUUACACAUGCAAGUCGAACGGUAACGGGUCCUUCGGGAUGCCGACGAGUGGCGAACGGGUGAGUAAUAUAUCGGAACGUGCCCAGUAGUGGGGGAUAACUGCUCGAAAGAGCAGCUAAUACCGCAUACGACCUGAGGGUGAAAGGGGGGGGUCGCAAGACCUCUCGCUAUUGGAGCGGCCGAUAUCAGAUUAGCUAGUUGGUGGGGUAAAGGCCUACCAAGGCAACGAUCUGUAGUUGGUCUGAGAGGACGACCAGCCACACUGGGACUGAGACCCGGCCCAGACACCUACGGGAGGCAGCAGUGGGGAAUUUUGGACAAUGGGCGCAAGCCUGAUCCAGCAAUGCCGCGUGCAGGAAGAAGGCCUUCGGGUUGUAAACUGCUUUUGUCAGGGAAGAGAUCUUCUGGGCUAAUACCCCGGGAGGAUGACGGUACCUGAAGAAUAAGCACCGGCUAACUACGUGCCAGCCGCCGCAGUAA